CGGAGCUGAAAUCAGUCGAAGAUACCAGCUGGCUGCAACUGUUUAUUAAAAACACAGCACUGUGCAAACACGAAAGUGGACGUAUACGGUGUGACGCCUGCCCGGUGCCGGAAGGUUAAUUGAUGGGGUUAGCGGCAACGCGAAGCUCUUGAUCGAAGCCCCGGUAAACGGCGGCCGUAACUAUAACGGUCCUAAGGUAGCGAAAUUCCUUGUCGGGUAAGUUCCGACCUGCACGAAUGGCGUAAUGAUGGCCAGGCUGUCUCCACCCGAGACUCAGUGAAAUUGAACUCGCUGUGAAGAUGCAGUGUACCCGCGGCAAGACGGAAAGACCCCGUGAACCUUUACUAUAGCUUGACACUGAACACUGGUCCUUGAUGUGUAGGAUAGGUGGGAGGCUUUGAAGCGUGGACGCCAGUCUGCGUGGAGCCAUCCUUGAAAUACCACCCUUUAAUGGCUGGUGUUCUAACGUAGACCCGUAAUCCGGGUUGCGGACAGUGUCUGGUGGGUAGUUUGACUGGGGCGGUCUCCUCCCAAAGAGUAACGGAGGAGCACGAAGGUUGGCUAAUCCUGGUCGGACAUCAGGAGGUUAGUGCAAUGGCAUAAGCCAGCUUGACUGCGAGCGUGACGGCGCGAGCAGGUGCGAAAGCAGGUCAUAGUGAUCCGGUGGUUCUGAAUGGAAGGGCCAUCGCUCAACGGAUAAAAGGUACUCCGGGGAUAACAGGCUGAUACCGCCCAAGAGUUCAUAUCGACGGCGGUGUUUGGCACCUCGAUGUCGGCUCAUCACAUCCUGGGGCUGAAGUAGGUCCCAAGGGUAUGGCUGUUCGCCAUUUAAAGUGGUACGCGAGCUGGGUUUAGAACGUCGUGAGACAGUUCGGUCCCUAUCUGCCGUGGGCGCUGGAGAAUUGAGGGGGGCUGCUCCUAGUACGAGAGGACCGGAGUGGACGCAUCACUGGUGUUCGGGUUGUCAUGCCAAUGGCACUGCCCGGUAGCUAAAUGCGGAAGAGAUAAGUGCUGAAAGCAUCUAAGCACGAAACUUGCCCCGAGAUGAGUUCUCCCUGAGACUUUAAGUCUCCUGAAGGAACGUUGAAGACGACGACGUUGAUAGGUCGGGUGUGUAAGCGCAGCGAUGCGUUGAGCUAACCGAUACUAAUGAACCGUGAGGCUUAACCUU
Molecule: ribosomal RNA, 1171 nt
Filed under: Enterobacter hormaechei
Lineage: Bacteria; Pseudomonadati; Pseudomonadota; Gammaproteobacteria; Enterobacterales; Enterobacteriaceae
Also listed under: 1 other name
Description: partial 23S ribosomal RNA
Rfam family: Bacterial large subunit ribosomal RNA
Source: RNAcentral